This 450-nucleotide ribosomal RNA is filed under the name uncultured bacterium. RNAcentral's name for it is "partial 16S ribosomal RNA". It matches the Rfam family "Bacterial small subunit ribosomal RNA", at positions 354 to 796 of the family's 1533-position model. The record is from RNAcentral.
GUGGGGAAUUUUGGACAAUGGGCGCAAGCCUGAUCCAGCAAUGCCGCGUGCAGGAAGAAGGCCUUCGGGUUGUAAACUGCUUUUGUACGGAACGAAACGGUCCGGGUUAAUACCCUGGGCUAAUGACGGUACCGUAAGAAUAAGCACCGGCUAACUACGUGCCAGCAGCCGCGGUAAUACGUAGGGUGCAAGCGUUAAUCGGAAUUACUGGGCGUAAAGCGUGCGCAGGCGGUUUUGUAAGACAGGCGUGAAAUCCCCGAGCGCAACCUGGGAAUUGCGCUUGUGACUGCAAGGCUGGAGUGCGGCAGAGGGGGAUGGAAUUCCGCGUGUAGCAGUGAAAUGCGUAGAUAUGCGGAGGAACACCGAUGGCGAAGGCAAUCCCCUGGGCCUGCACUGACGCUCAUGCACGAAAGCGUGGGGAGCAAACAGGAUUAGAAACCCCGGUAGUCC